This is a small nuclear RNA of Gopherus agassizii (Agassiz's desert tortoise), 107 nucleotides long. Lineage: Eukaryota; Metazoa; Chordata; Testudines; Testudinidae. The record is from Ensembl.
AUUCUUGUGUCAGCAGCACAUGUACUAAAAUUGGAAUGAUCCACGGAAGAUUAGCACGGUCCAUGCCUAAGGAUGACAGGCAAUUUCAUAAAGCAUUCCAUUAACUA